AUCCAUCUGAUGAAUCUUAAAUAGGACGAAACUCGCAUCCUGGAU
Non-coding RNA from Schistosoma haematobium, 45 nucleotides. The record is from Rfam. Lineage: Eukaryota; Metazoa; Platyhelminthes; Trematoda; Strigeidida; Schistosomatidae.